UGGGGAAUUUUGGACAAUGGGCGAAAGCCUGAUCCAGCAAUGCCGCGUGUGUGAAGAAGGCCUUCGGGUUGUAAAGCACUUUUGUCCGGAAAGAAAUCCUUGGCUCUAAUACAGUCGGGGGAUGACGGUACCGGAAGAAUAAGCACCGGCUAACUACGCGCCAGCAGCCGCGGUAAUACGUAGGGUGCAAGCGUUAAUCGGAAUUACUGGGCGUAAAGCGUGCGCAGGCGGUUUGCUAAGACCGAUGUGAAAUCCCCGGGCUCAACCUGGGAACUGCAUUGGUGACUGGCAGGCUAGAGUAUGGCAGAGGGGGGUAGAAUUCCACGUGUAGCAGUGAAAUGCGUAGAGAUGUGGAGGAAUACCGAUGGCGAAGGCAGCCCCCUGGGCCAAUACUGACGCUCAUGCACGAAAGCGUGGGGAGCAAACAGGAUUAGAUACCCUGGUAGUCCACGCCCUAAACGAUGUCAACUAGUUGUUGGGGAUUCAUUUCCUUAGUAACGUAGCUAACGCGUGAAGUUGACCGCCU
This 526-nucleotide ribosomal RNA is filed under the name uncultured bacterium. RNAcentral describes it as "partial 16S ribosomal RNA". It matches the Rfam family "Bacterial small subunit ribosomal RNA", at positions 355 to 874 of the family's 1533-position model. The record is from RNAcentral.